This is a small nucleolar RNA of Acanthopagrus latus (yellowfin seabream), 77 nucleotides long. RefSeq annotates it as small nucleolar RNA SNORD66. Lineage: Eukaryota; Metazoa; Chordata; Actinopteri; Spariformes; Sparidae. The record is from RefSeq and is a predicted model, not a curated record. The transcript has a single exon.
CUCCAGUGAUGACUUAUGUUUUGUGCCAUGUGUCUGGGCCACUGAAUGUUCAUGAUGGAAUUGAGGAACUGAUGGAG